AGUUUGAGCGUGAGCAGCGUGCCAUUGUUGUCCAUAUAGAGAGGGGAGUAGUCACUGUUAACGCUUGAGCUUGAGCAGCGUGCCACCGUGAUGGAGUAGCCGUGCCACCGUGAGAACGCAAACGGAGUCUCUACGAUUUUGCCCUAGGUUUUCAUCUCGAUUCCUUUCUUUCUGUGUUGUGUAAUUUUGUUAUUGAUUCCAACUCUUUCUCGUUUUUAGACAAUGAGAUAUUAGAGAAUUUGUUUCACCAUAUUCAGUUGAGUGAUUUCCACAUGCUUCAACCUUAAACACAUUCCAAAAACUUGAAAAACCCUUCCAAUAGCGCCCUGAAUUUCCAAAAUUUCCCAAAUUUCCCAAAUGCUGCCCUCAGAAACGAAACCACAAAUUUAAGAACAAGCUCCUACACUGAUAGUCGUGGUUCUUCUUUGGUUCUUUCUUCCAAUUUACAUGCUACUUGUGCUCGCGGUAACAGUUCAUUCUUCUGUAGUUUUUUCUUCUACAGUUCGUUUUUAUUUCGAUUUUCUCAUUGGUUAGGGUUCAUGGUGACCUAAGUAGAGUUGAUCAUUCUCUUGUAAUUGCUUUUGUCACUAUGUUUGGACUAAUAUGCAUAUCUCUAUAUAUCACACCAUGCAUCUAUGACCUCCCUGUACCUCAAAUCAACUCAUAUGUAAUCAUACUCCUUGCCUUUUCUCCAAUAAACAAUUUUGUAGACUCUAUUUGACUAUUUUUAUAAUUAUAUACAUAUAUAUUCCCAUGGACAAUAUAUAUUGUUAUGAGCGUGGACAAUGCAUACUGGUGUUGUUGCCAUUAAUCAAAUCAGUCUUUAAUAAGAUGUUUGGUUUGGUGGAGAAUUAGAUUUAAAUCGAAGUUGGUUUAUAUAAAGGAAAUAAAAAAAAUCGAAGUUGUUCCUACCGACCAUGUUGUUUUUCCCUGUUUCUUUUUUCUUUUAUAAAUUAUCAUUUUCCACAUUUUUUAAUCUACUUUUUCUUAAAAAAUACUCAAAACUGUAACAAUAUUUGUGUAUUGAAGUUGCUGAAAUUUGUAUCAUUCUUAUAGGUAACCUUUUUUCUUCCUUUCUCUCAUGUUUGUUCUGUUAAAGUUUUCAUGAUUUAUCUUGAGAAAUGAAGUUGCUUGCUAAGUGUUUGAGCUACAUUUCUAAGGUUGAAAUAUUGAGUACUAGUUGAUUUCUAAUGUACCCUUAAACAAUAUCCAUCAUAAUUUUAAAAUGAUAGGGCAAUUUGUGAUGCUUUACUUUUUUUAAUUUGUUUAUAGCAGUGUAUUUGUAAAGGAGCUAGUUAGUAUACUUUGAAUGUUUUGGAAGGAAAUUUUAUUGAAGUUUUUUAUCAAAUCUUUGGAGUCAUUAUUUAUGACAAUAAUCAUGCUCUUCCAGAGUCUGAAGAUGUAGAGUAACAGCUCUGAAGAUGUAGAGUAACAGCUGUGUUUUCAGGUGGAAAACAAAUAUGGCUUAACAGUUCUUAUUUGUUUGCAGAUCACAACCAUAAUCAAUUCAGAAUAGAAGAAUAGUGCUUUGAGGUGAGUGUUCAAACUAUUUUGUUAAAGAAAUCAGCAAAUGAAAUGUUAUGGUAAACAUUGAAAGCAAAGUUGAAAGUUGAAUGUUAUAAUAAAAGGGCAUUCUUUUCUUAUUUUAUUAUUAUUGAUAACAGUUCUUACACAGGACAAGUUAUUUUCUAUCAAAUAUUCUAACAAUACUAUACUGCUUAUAGGUCCAAACUAUCAAUUCUGUGUGAUGCUGAGGUUGCUCUCAGGUACCAUUAUUUCUCCUCCUUCAACUUUCCCUUUUCUUCUUCUUAAAUUAAUGUGUGAAUGCUUAUGCUUCCUGUAAUUUUAGCACCCCUCUUGCAACCAAGACUAGUUCCUUUAAUAUGUGACCUUGUAAAUUUCAUGCAUACCUAUAAAAUUUCACUUGUAAUGAUCCGUGUGAAAAGGUUAUUCAUAAUUUUGUGUAGGUUUAUGUGCAUGAUGUGACUACUGUUAGUUCCCUGGAAUAUAUGUAGCUGAAGGUAAUUGAGACUUUAUGAAAUUAUCAUUAAUUUAAAAUGUGUUAUCAAGGAUUGAAAUUGACCACAGUGUGCGUGUGACAAUUCCUAGAAAAGAAUUAUGAAUAAGAAAUGAGUGAAUGUUAAAGAAUAAAGAGGCAUAAUGUUAGCAGUAAUUAUCUAGUGUUGUGCAGGUUGUUAGAAUUCACAUAUUCAGAUAUUCAGAUAUUCAGAUAUAAAAUUAGAAUGAUUAGAAUUCACAUAUUCAGAUUGUUAGGUCUAAGUUAAUAUAACUGUUUCCAAAGGUAAUAAAAUGAUUAGCAGCUGCAGUUGAUGAGGGAAAUUGCAUCAUGUCUUUGCUAUUCUCAUCACUUUGCAUCAUGGAAAUUAGAGGUGUGCUAAAGGAGAAAAAUCUCAUUCUUAUUAUUCUCAUUCAUACCCUUUUACAGUAGUUUCUUAAUUUUAUUCUUUUCUUCACAUGUAUAAGUUUUAUCUUAAACUAUUCUUCUCCUUUUAUGCAUGAAACAUGUCUCCAAGUAACAUUAUUAUACUUUGUUUCAGAUCUAGAACAACCUAUUUGCUCGAUUACUGGUUUGCCUGCCAAGUAAGAUCUCUUUUAUCAACUUGGUAGUUCUUGCAUUUUUCUUUUCUAAUGUUGCAGUUCUUGGUUAAAAUUGUCUUUGGAUAGCUUGUAUUCUUGUUAUUUAUGUUAUUAGUACUUGAGUAUUUUUUUGGGAUGGGAAGUUUGGAUAUGCUUUCCUUGCAUAGAACAAUCGGUUUUAUGUUAUCUACUGUUAAGGAAUUCUUUAGUCUAUUUCCACUAUACCCACAUAUUGUUAAGGAAUUCUCUCUGGAAUAAUAUAGGUAUCGUGAUCCAAAGACUGGCCUGCCAUAUAACUCUUUUCCUUGUAUUAACUAAUUCUGUUUUAGUCCACUUAUUGCACAUCACUCAUAAUGCCAUUUGUAUGUACUUCAACCAUACUUUAUUUUUUUGGUCCAUAAUUGUUCUUUUGUGGGUUUGGAACUUGAUCUUGAGCAUUAUGUAUAUGCAGCUAACUUGACAGAGAAUCCAAGGUCACCGGUUAGUGGGUCUGGCAGCAAUUCAUCUCCCCAUCAAGGUUUUACUUUCAAAACUGCAUUCUGUAAUUAUGAUAAUUGACUAAUUAAAAACAUAAAUUGGUCCAUUGAUCCCUUUACUAAAUUUUUGCUGCUUACUUUCAACCUGUUCAUUUUUUCACCAUGAAUCCUCACUUUUUUUUGUAAUGUAUCUGCAAUUGGAUGUACAUAAGAAUUUAAUUGGUUCAAGAUUAAACAUGUCUUCUGCGCUUCGUAUUUUUAUAUUAGGUGAUAACAUGAUUGUACUUAUUCAUAAUAACUAAUUAGACUUACAGACAAGGUAAAGAAUCAUCAAAUUUUUUUCUACAGGUUUUAUUGCUAAUAAAUAUUUUAUGUAUUUUUUCUUAUUGUUUUCAUUUGUUUCUCAUUUUUUUUAGACUGCUUUUGGUAUUUGGUAUAUGAAGAACCUAUAAUCUACUGGGCUGCCGAUUUUCAAUGGAAUGCCUUAAAAAACAACUGUUCCUAAGAUCCUGAAUAUAACCACCAAGAUAUCACUAUACAUGUAUGAUCUGCCCUUUUGUUGCCUUUGUUUUGGAAGAAAAGACUAAAAGGGGCUUAUUUUGCAGCCAAACAAGCUUCUCUUGUCUCCCCCAUUUUACCUUCAUUUCCACAUAUGUAAAUGUCUAAAACCCUUAAUUUCUGCAAAUUUCUACCGGUAAAAAGAUAAGGAAAAUUCUACAUAAAUCAUUAUUUGGUUAAAUUUCUUGGUAGUUCUUGUAGUUUAACAAAUUUUACAUUUUAAUUCUUAUAAAUUUUACAUUUUAAUUCUUAUAUGAAAGACCAUCAAUUUUAGAUUUUAU
RNAcentral lists this long non-coding RNA (3913 nucleotides) under Phaseolus vulgaris (common bean). Its description in RNAcentral is "long non-coding RNA (PVUL_LNC002546)". Lineage: Eukaryota; Viridiplantae; Streptophyta; Magnoliopsida; Fabales; Fabaceae. The record is from RNAcentral.